GCUUGAGUAUUUCCUCAGCAGAGGGGCUGUUGGUUGCUGUGCUCUCUUCACUCUUAAAACAGGGCUGGAGGCAUCCUGAAGUCCAAUCAACACCCUGACCUGAGAUGGGACCAACUGAGUGUUGCCCGCUUGCCACAUCCUGAGAGUGGAUCACCCUGUUGAGCACCAACCUUUAAUGCCUUAAGUUUCAGCUUUCAUGUUUUCCAGACUCUGUGCUGCCCAGGUGCAGCUCUGAGCUCACACUCAGGGUCACUCAGCUCUCUGCACACAGCAGCGACACAAAACAAAUCCUGUUCCUGCUGCACACCAAGGACAACUUUCAGCCCCAAAGCACAAACAAGGGUGGCUGGAGGGAGGAACAAGAAGGAUGGGACCUCACAGCCUGGAGCUGGAAUUGGACAAUUCAACCCCAAUGUGCAAAUGGACCAAAACUGAUCAAAGUGUGAGACCUCAUGACCGGUCCAAUAAAACAGUGAAGGCCAUCAAAAUGACCUUUCUACAGCACCUACUGCUAUGAUCUGAGAAGCAGAAUUCCCUCCCCAGUCGAAAUAGGAAUGGUACUUAUAGGCCAGGCACCUGAGAAUUCCAUCAAGGGGCACCCAUGUCCCCUGUAAUCCCUCCUCCUGCUGCUUCAGCAAGAGGACUUCAGCUCUGUCCCCACCCCUUUGUGGGGCCUCCUGGUCGGUGUGACAGCAGCCAAGGGAGCGAUAAAACUUCAUCUCUCGCGCACAGCUUUAAGGGAAGGAUGUCGGGAAUACAGAACUCCUUGCCUACAGCACAGGGAGACACACAGGUUGUGUUUCUCCUGCCCUCUGAGUCUGAGAGCCCCUGGCAGUUCCCCAAGCUCCCAGUCUAACCCAGAGCUGCUCCAGAGUAGUUUGGCUGCCUGUGAGAUGCUGUAGCCUGCAGAACAGCAUCGGGAAGCGGCUGCCGUGCGUUCGGCUUUAUGGGAUAACCGCUGAGGGCUGGAUUUAUGGGAUCUGCACUCCACACAACCAUGGCACGGGCCAAAAUGUGCCUGAGAAUUUAUGCCUGGAUUCACCCAGUGCUGCAGCAAUCUUCUCCCUGCUUCCCCAGCUCCGGAGCCCAGCGGUGCUCGUAAGAGGGGCGCACAGGAAAAUUUUUCUGCUGGUCCUAUCACUGUGAAAACAGCAGAUGCUCUCUAUCAGAGUGUUCAAUGGACAGUACAUCAGAGAGAGAAGGAAAUCUGAGCCACAAUGGAAGUGGUUUUAUUGGUUUUAUUGCACUGUACCAGCCAGGAAUUUUCCCACGUGGUUUGUAGGACUUUUCUGCAUGAAGGUGACCAAGUGGGUGUUUGUACCUCUCUUCUUCCCAUAAUAAUUUUCCCCUACAGCUGCCUCAGGGAAGUCACCCUCUACACAAGUCGUAUGUUUGUGUAUCUUAAUUUACAUCCCCACACCAUUCAUGCUGUAAAAUCCAGUGCUGUUAACAAGGUUUCACUGAGUGACUUCUCCACUUGAAAGUUUUUCAAGCCUCUUUCCUCCUGAAUUGUGUAAGUAAAAGGCUUCCAAGGGAGAGAGAUUUCUUUAGUGUUUUAAAAAAUAAUGGUUUUGAUCAGGCAGCUGUUAAAGAUGUUUUCCAGAGGCUCCAUUUUUUGUGCUGCCUUUUGGUGGAGACAAACCCCUAC
Molecule: long non-coding RNA, 1648 nt
Organism: Hirundo rustica (Barn swallow)
Lineage: Eukaryota; Metazoa; Chordata; Aves; Passeriformes; Hirundinidae
Exons: 3
Source: RefSeq, a predicted model, not a curated record